RNAcentral lists this long non-coding RNA (515 nucleotides) under Pan troglodytes (chimpanzee). Its description in RNAcentral is "long non-coding RNA NONPTRT013574". The record is from RNAcentral. Lineage: Eukaryota; Metazoa; Chordata; Mammalia; Primates; Hominidae.
AUUGGAGACCCAGAAAAGAGGAGAGACAAUGGGCCAGAGCAGAUAUGCUCAGGUGACUUCCCUUUUCUGUCAGACAAGAUGAUCACUUUCAUGGGGCUCUUGGAAGUGAUUCCACGCUCUACCACUUAGUGGCAGACAUUGUGCCUGAAGGAGUUAGAGAGGAACCAAUAGCAUUUAUCCAUUUCAAAUAAAUAUUUCUUCAAUCAAUACAAUUGAAAUGCUUCAAAAACUUACAUUAUUUUCUAAUGACUACUUCAAAUAAUAAAUUUGACAUCAGUGGUUAGUUACCACAUUAUCCAAAAAGAAACACUCUAAUUAAAUGUAUCAUGCAGGGCCAGGCACAGUAGCUUACACCUGUAAUUCCAGCACUUUGGGAGGCCCAUAACCUUCUUGUACUUGGAUAUUGAUAUUUUUCUCUAGGUUGGGAAGGUUCUCUGUUAUUAUAGUUUUAAAUAAACUUUCUACCCCUAUCUCUUUCUCUACCUCCUCUUUAAAGUCAGUAACUCUUAGAUUUG